GUGAGUAAUGCCUAGGAAAUUGCCCUGAUGUGGGGGAUAACCAUUGGAAACGAUGGCUAAUACCGCAUAAUGCCUACGGGCCAAAGAGGGGGACCUUCGGGCCUCUCGCGUCAGGAUAUGCCUAGGUGGGAUUAGCUAGUUGGUGAGGUAAUGGCUCACCAAGGCGACGAUCCCUAGCUGGUCUGAGAGGAUGAUCAGCCACACUGGAACUGAGACACGGUCCAGACUCCUACGGGAGGCAGCAGUGGGGAAUAUUGCACAAUGGGCGCAAGCCUGAUGCAGCCAUGCCGCGUGUGUGAAGAAGGCCUUCGGGUUGUAAAGCACUUUCAGUCGUGAGGAAGGUAGUGUAGUUAAUAGCUGCAUUACUUGACGUUAGCGACAGAAGAAGCACCGGCUAACUCCGUGCCAGCAGCCGCGGUAAUACGGAGGGUGCGAGCGUUAAUCGGAAUUACUGGGCGUAA
RNAcentral lists this ribosomal RNA (461 nucleotides) under Vibrio rotiferianus. RNAcentral's name for it is "bacterial SSU rRNA". It matches the Rfam family "Bacterial small subunit ribosomal RNA", at positions 106 to 563 of the family's 1533-position model. The record is from RNAcentral. Lineage: Bacteria; Pseudomonadati; Pseudomonadota; Gammaproteobacteria; Vibrionales; Vibrionaceae.